AGAAGCUUGUUUUUCUGUUUUCUUUCUUCUACUUGUAUUUACUUGGUUCAAUCGGGGGAUUGAAUCAAGGAGAUUGAGGUUGGUUGGUGAGCCGGUUUAAAACCAACGUGUGUAAGGGUUUGAUUGUGAGCCCGGAAAAACAAUCAGGGUUGGUUCUAGUCGGUGAGCCUGGGAAAACCGACCGAGUUCGUUGUGAGCUCGUAAAACAACAAGUUUGGUUGUGAGCUUGCAAAACAACCGACUGUAAUAGUGAAAUUCCCAAGUGAGACUUGGGGAGUGGACGUAGGAGCAAGGGUUAGCUCCGAACCACUAUAAAACCUUGUGUUUGUGUU
Molecule: long non-coding RNA, 332 nt
Filed under: Phoenix dactylifera (date palm)
Lineage: Eukaryota; Viridiplantae; Streptophyta; Magnoliopsida; Arecales; Arecaceae
Description: long non-coding RNA (PDAC_LNC006561)
Source: RNAcentral